GUGAGUGACCACCAUGGACAAGUGUGUGUUUGUCUGUGGACACGGUCGUUCCCCUGUCCCCUGACUGCCCCCCACUUGUUACCGGGAGGUCUGGAGGUUGGGUGGGGCCUGUCCUGCCUCCCUCAGCCCCUGCUCCUUCUCUCUGAACCUCUGGUGUCGGAGCCCACAGAGUCCUCCAAAGGAUGUGGGUCUCAUGGGAGCUGCAGGGGGCCCCCAAGCUGGGACCCUGCUGACCUCAUGACCUUUAGAAAUGGAUGGACAGCCUCAACUCAGACGGAAGAUUCACUCCUGAACCAGAACUUCUCAGGGCCUUUAAUGAUUCUCAUACUUUUGUGAUUCUCAUAUAAGGAAUAAGGU
Molecule: long non-coding RNA, 357 nt
Filed under: Equus caballus (horse)
Lineage: Eukaryota; Metazoa; Chordata; Mammalia; Perissodactyla; Equidae
Description: lncRNA (ENSECAG00000046404.1)
Source: RNAcentral